AUGGUUUAUGGGGGAAGAUGGGGAAGGAAACGCUCACCAGUUCUGCACAAACACCAUCUUCUCCAUGUUUUUUUUCCAUGUUUCUUGAAGAGAGCUGCAGGAGAUCAAGAAGGCUGUGAACAGAACCUCUUGAAAAUGUCAGGUAUCCUGGGAAAGGCAUGGCUGGUGAUCAAGUCUUGUGUGAUGUCACCUCCUUCAUCCAUGGGGCAACUUCUUUUUUGCAUGAACUUUGCAUAA
Molecule: long non-coding RNA, 237 nt
Filed under: Fukomys damarensis (Damara mole-rat)
Lineage: Eukaryota; Metazoa; Chordata; Mammalia; Rodentia; Bathyergidae
Description: lncRNA (ENSFDAG00000026186.1)
Source: RNAcentral